UACGAGCACCCCGAGUGGUCGGGACGAUUAUUGGGCCUAAAGCAUCCGUAGCCGGUUCUGCAAGUCCCCCGUUAAAUCCAGCUGCUCAACAGAUGGGCCGCGGAGGAUACUACAGAGCUAGGAGGCAGGAGAGGCAAGCGGUACUCAGUGGGUAGGGGUAAAAUCCGUUGAUCCAUUGAAGACCACCAGUGGCGAAGGCGGCUUGCCAGAAUGCGCUCGACGGUGAGGGAUGAAAGCUGGGGGAGCAAACCGG
RNAcentral lists this ribosomal RNA (253 nucleotides) under uncultured bacterium. Its description in RNAcentral is "partial 16S ribosomal RNA". It matches the Rfam family "Archaeal small subunit ribosomal RNA", at positions 474 to 727 of the family's 1478-position model. The record is from RNAcentral.